AAACCAGCACCUCAAGUGGUCAGGAUGAUUAUUGGGCCUAAAGCAUCCGUAGCCGGCUCUGUAAGUUUUCGGUUAAAUCUGUACGCUCAACGUACAGGCUGCUGGGAAUACUGCAGGGCUAGGGAGUGGGAGAGAUGGACGGUACUCGGGAGGAAGUGGUAAAAUGCUUUGAUCUCUCGAUGACCACCUGUGGCGAAGGCGGUCUAUCAGAACACGUCCGACGGUGAGGGAUGAAAGCUGGGGGAGCAAACCGGAUUAGAAACCCCAGUAGUCC
RNAcentral lists this ribosomal RNA (274 nucleotides) under uncultured bacterium. RNAcentral's name for it is "partial 16S ribosomal RNA". It matches the Rfam family "Archaeal small subunit ribosomal RNA", at positions 473 to 747 of the family's 1478-position model. The record is from RNAcentral.